Molecule: transfer RNA, 97 nt
Filed under: Cordyceps fumosorosea ARSEF 2679
Lineage: Eukaryota; Fungi; Ascomycota; Sordariomycetes; Hypocreales; Cordycipitaceae
Description: Isaria fumosorosea ARSEF 2679 tRNA
Rfam family: tRNA
About the family: Transfer RNA (tRNA) molecules are approximately 80 nucleotides in length. Their secondary structure includes four short double-helical elements and three loops (D, anti-codon, and T loops). Further hydrogen bonds mediate the characteristic L-shaped molecular structure. tRNAs have two regions of fundamental functional importance: the anti-codon, which is responsible for specific mRNA codon recognition, and the 3' end, to which the tRNAs corresponding amino acid is attached (by aminoacyl-tRNA synthetases). tRNAs cope with the degeneracy of the genetic code in two manners: having more than one tRNA (with a specific anti-codon) for a particular amino acid; and 'wobble' base-pairing, i.e. permitting non-standard base-pairing at the 3rd anti-codon position.
Source: Rfam by way of RNAcentral
GGGCGAAUGGUUUAGUGGUAUAAUACUCCCUUAGCAUUCGCUUUUAAGCGGGUUCAACGAUUGGGAGUGGUCCGGGGUUCGAUUCCCCGUUUGUCCA